AUACGUAGGUGGCAAGCGUUGUCCGGAUUUACUGGGUGUAAAGGGCGUGUAGGCGGAGAUGCAAGUCAGGAGUGAAAUCUAGGGGCUCAACCCCUAAACUGCUUUUGAAACUGUAUCCCUUGAGUAUCGGAGAGGCAGGCGGAAUUCCUAGUGUAGCGGUGAAAUGCGUAGAUAUUAGGAGGAACACCGGUGGCGAAGGCGGCCUGCUGGACGAAAACUGGCGCUGAGGCGCGAAAGCGGGGGGAGCAAACAGGAUUAAAUACCCUGGUAGGCCACGCCGUAAACGAUGAAUACUAGGUGUAGGGGGUAUCGACUCCCUCUGUGCCGCAGUUAACACAAUAAGUAUUCCGCCUGGGGAGUACGGCCGCAAGGUUGAAACUCAAAUGAAUUGACGGGG
Molecule: ribosomal RNA, 397 nt
Filed under: uncultured bacterium
Lineage: Bacteria
Description: partial 16S ribosomal RNA
Rfam family: Bacterial small subunit ribosomal RNA
Source: RNAcentral